GACGAACGCUGGCGGCGUGCUUAACACAUGCAAGUCGAACGAUGAAGCGGUGCUUGCACCGUGGAUUAGUGGCGAACGGGUGAGUAAUACGUGAGUGACCUACCUUUGACUCUGGGAUAAGCCUGGGAAACUGGGUCUAAUACCGGAUACGACCAAUCUCUGCAUGGGGUGUUGGUGGAAAGCGUUAUGGAGUGGUUUUAGAUGGGCUCACGGCCUAUCAGCUUGUUGGUGAGGUAAUGGCUUACCAAGGCGACGACGGGUAGCCGGCCUGAGAGGGUGACCGGCCACACUGGGACUGAGACACGGCCCAGACUCCUACGGGAGGCAGCAGUGGGGAAUAUUGCACAAUGGGCGCAAUCCUGAUGCAGCGACGCCGCGUGAGGGAUGACGGCCUUCGGGUUGUAAACCUCUGUUAGCAUCGAAGAAGCGAAAGUGACGGUAGGUGCAGAGAAAGCGCCGGCUAACUACGUG
This 471-nucleotide ribosomal RNA is filed under the name uncultured bacterium. RNAcentral's name for it is "partial 16S ribosomal RNA". It matches the Rfam family "Bacterial small subunit ribosomal RNA", at positions 28 to 507 of the family's 1533-position model. The record is from RNAcentral.